Molecule: long non-coding RNA, 846 nt
Organism: Cuculus canorus (common cuckoo)
Lineage: Eukaryota; Metazoa; Chordata; Aves; Cuculiformes; Cuculidae
Exons: 3
Source: RefSeq, a predicted model, not a curated record
ACAAGCAGACCUUUGUCAGCGCUGGCAGGCGAAAGCGGCGCUGCCGUCCCCCCGUCCAAGUGCUCUGCCAGUUGAAAUGGAAAAUAUCAAAUCGGUCAUCUUAUCCAGGAAUCGCUUCUUCGAGAAGAAGGAAGGCCAAAUUGCUUGCAUGUGGCAAAAAACUUUCCUCCUUCACAUAGAUGUUAAAAUCAUAGUAUUCCAAGAAUAAUCUCUGAACAAGACGGGGUUUUGUUCUAUUAAUUGUGGCUGGAAGGAAACUUUUUUAAAUGGAAAUACAGCACACGUAUAUUUCAAUUCAGGUUAUUAAGCUGUGUUAAGUAUUAAAGUUGAUUGCCUUUCUUUUCACUAACUCAUUGUGCUUUUUUAUCCAAAGAAAUAUUAGAAGACUAAAACCUCUCAAAUAGGAGAUAUUAAUCUCAUUCCCAAAAUUAGAAAGCAUGCGGUGUUGAGAGACUGGAUGUCAAAAUUACAUCUGCGUAGCACUUAUGGAGUGGGAAACUGGGAACCAACAGCUUUUAAAAUGGGAGCUUAAAGUAAAUGGAGACUCUUGUGAGAGAAGUGAUCAAAACCUGGUGUUCUUGUCCUUACUGGAGUGAGGGGCACCCUUUCAGAUAAAAACAUGGACCUGAUUGGCAUCAUCCUGUAUCCAUGGAAACGUUUUAAGUACCUCUCUCUCAAUAUGUACUUCUGUUAUUCAGGGUUUAAAAGCUGAGUACCAAAUAAAUUGCCGCAUGAGACCUAGGAUUGUGGUUGCUCUCAAGAACUUCUGCUUGGAGCCAACUAGGCAUAUCAGAGAGGUGAAACUUUCAGCCUCAGGGGAAGGAUGCAGCACACAUGACGAUUUUG